This 76-nucleotide transfer RNA is filed under the name Deltaproteobacteria bacterium. RNAcentral's name for it is "tRNA-Cys". It matches the Rfam family "tRNA". From Rfam's summary of the family: Transfer RNA (tRNA) molecules are approximately 80 nucleotides in length. RNAcentral also lists the same sequence under 1 other name. The record is from RNAcentral. Lineage: Bacteria; Pseudomonadati; Myxococcota; Myxococcia.
GGCGGCGUACCCAAGUGGCUAAGGGACCAGUUUGCAAAACUGUUAUUCGUCGGUUCGAAUCCGACCGCCGCCUCCA